UGUAGGUGCCGGGGCUAUAUGACUGAGUCACUCAGCUUUAUGUAGGUGUCGAGGCUACAUGACUGAGUCACUCAGCUUUAUGUAGGUGCCGAGGCUAUAUGACUGAGUCACUCAGCAUUAUGUAGGUGCCGAGGCUAUAUGACUGAGUCACUCAGCUUUAUGUAGGUGCCGAGGCUAUAUGACUGAGUCACUCAGCUUUAUGUAGGUGAUGAGGCUAUAUGACUGAGUCACUCAGCUUUAUGUAGGUGCCGAGGCUAUAUGAGUGAGUCACUCAGCUUUAUGUAGGUGCCGAGGCUAUAUGACUGAGUCACUCAGCUUUAUGUAGGUGCCGAGGCUAUAUGAGUGAGUCACUCAGCUUUAUGUAGGUGCCGAGGCUAUAUGAGUGAGUCACUCAGCUUUAUGUAGGUGCCGGGGCUAUAUGACUGAGUCACUCAGCUUUAUGUAGGUGCCGAGGCUAUAUGACUGAGUCACUCAGCUUUAUGUAGGUGCCGAGGCUAUAUGAGUGAGUCACUCAGCUUUAUGUAGGUGCCGGGGCUAUAUGAGUGAGUCACUCAGCUUUAUGUAGGUGCCGGGG
This is a long non-coding RNA of Oncorhynchus keta (chum salmon), 574 nucleotides long. RefSeq lists it as uncharacterized. The record is from RefSeq and is a predicted model, not a curated record. The transcript is spliced from 5 exons. Lineage: Eukaryota; Metazoa; Chordata; Actinopteri; Salmoniformes; Salmonidae.